GUCCUGGCCCUAAACGUUGGAUACUAGGUGUAGGAGGCAUCGACCCCUUCUGUGCCGCAGCUAACGCAUUAAGUAUCCCGCCUGGGGAGUACGACCGCAAGGUUGAAACUCAAAGGAAUUGACGGGGGCCCGCACAAGCGGUGGAGUAUGUGGUUUAAUUCGACGCAACGCGAAGAACCUUACCGGGGCUUGACAUGCACAGGACAGGCGUGGAAACACGCUCUCCCUUCGGGGUCUGUGCACAGGUGCUGCAUGGCUGUCGU
RNAcentral lists this ribosomal RNA (263 nucleotides) under uncultured bacterium. Its description in RNAcentral is "partial 16S ribosomal RNA". It matches the Rfam family "Bacterial small subunit ribosomal RNA", at positions 793 to 1055 of the family's 1533-position model. The record is from RNAcentral.